CAAAAACAUCGCCUCUUGAUUAAACAUAAGAGGUCCAGCCUGCCCAGUGACAUAGUUUAACGGCCGCGGUACCCUAACCGUGCGAAGGUAGCAUAAUCACUUGUUCUUUAAAUAGGGACUCGUAUCAACGGCAUCACGAGGGCUAUACUGUCUCCUUUCUCCAAUCAAUGAAACUGAUCUCCCCGUGAAGAAGCGGGGAUUAACCUAUAAGACGAGAAGACCCCAUGGAGCUUCAAACUCAACAUACACCUCUACGCACUUAAACCACUUUAGCCCAAGAGACCUCUAUGUUAGUUUUGGGUUGGGGGGACCGCGGAGUAAAAAUUAACCUCCACGACAAACGGGCUUUAUGCCCUUAUCCACGAACCACAGCUCUAAGAAUCAAUAAACUGAUGUUUAUGACCCGAUUAUUCGAUCAACGAACCAAGUUACCCUGGGGAUAACAGCGCAAUCUACUUCAAGAGCCCCUAUCGACAAGUAGGUUUACGACCUCGAUGUUGGAUCAGGGUAUCCUAGUGGUGCAGCCGCUACUAAUGGUUCGUUUGUUCAACGAUUAAAACCCUACGUGAUCUGAGU
RNAcentral lists this ribosomal RNA (576 nucleotides) under Pelophylax plancyi (gold-spotted pond frog). Its description in RNAcentral is "partial large subunit ribosomal RNA". It matches the Rfam family "Bacterial large subunit ribosomal RNA", at positions 1808 to 2610 of the family's 2925-position model. Lineage: Eukaryota; Metazoa; Chordata; Amphibia; Anura; Ranidae. The record is from RNAcentral.